GACGGACGCUGGCGGCGCGCCUAACACAUGCAAGUCGAACGAGCGAGAGAGAGCUUGCUUUCUCGAGCGAGUGGCGAACGGGUGAGUAACGCGUGAGGAACCUGCCUCAAAGAGGGGGACAACAGUUGGAAACGACUGCUAAUACCGCAUAAGCCCACGGCUCGGCAUCGAGCAGGGGGAAAAGGAGCAAUCCGCUUUGAGAUGGCCUCGCGUCCGAUUAGCUAGUUGGUGGGGUAACGGCCCACCAAGGCGACGAUCGGUAGCCGGACUGAGAGGUUGAACGGCCACAUUGGGACUGAGACACGGCCCAGACUCCUACGGGAGGCAGCAGUGGGGAAUAUUGCACAAUGGGGGAAACCCUGAUGCAGCGACGCCGCGUGGAGGAAGAAGGUCUUCGGAUUGUAAACUCCUGUUGUUGGGGAAGAUAAUGACGGUACCCAACAAGGAAGUGACGGCUAACUACGUG
Molecule: ribosomal RNA, 466 nt
Filed under: uncultured bacterium
Lineage: Bacteria
Description: partial 16S ribosomal RNA
Rfam family: Bacterial small subunit ribosomal RNA
Source: RNAcentral